GAUGAACGCUGGCGGCGUGCUUAACACAUGCAAGUCGAACGGAAAGGCCCAAGCUUGCUUGGGUACUCGAGUGGCGAACGGGUGAGUAACACGUGGGUGAUCUGCCCUGCACUUCGGGAUAAGCCUGGGAAACUGGGUCUAAUACCGGAUAGGACCACAUUUUGGAUGGUGUGGUGGAAAGUUUUUCGGUGUGGGAUGAGCUCGCGGCCUAUCAGCUUGUUGGUGGGGUAAUGGCCUACCAAGGCGUCGACGGGUAGCCGGACUGAGAGGGUGUACGGCCACAUUGGGACUGAGAUACGGCCCAGACGCCUACGGGAGGCAGCAGUGGGGAAUAUUGCACAAUGGGCGCAAGCCUGAUGCAGCGACGCCGCGUGGGGGAUGACGGCCUUCGGGUUGUAAACUCCUUUCGCUAGGGACGAAGCGUUAUGUGACGGUACCUGGAGAAGAAGCACCGGCUAACUACGUG
This 466-nucleotide ribosomal RNA is filed under the name uncultured bacterium. Its description in RNAcentral is "partial 16S ribosomal RNA". It matches the Rfam family "Bacterial small subunit ribosomal RNA", at positions 28 to 507 of the family's 1533-position model. The record is from RNAcentral.